RNAcentral lists this microRNA precursor (161 nucleotides) under Oryza sativa (Asian cultivated rice). Its description in RNAcentral is "miR2275a stem-loop (osa-MIR2275a)". The stretch from base 35 to 128 matches the Rfam family "MIR2275 microRNA precursor family". The record is from miRBase by way of RNAcentral. Lineage: Eukaryota; Viridiplantae; Streptophyta; Magnoliopsida; Poales; Poaceae.
AGCUUAGCUAGGCAUCACAAACCAUAAUCUUUGGCAGUUGAAUUUGAGGUUUGGAUGGGACCAAAUCUUACUGCAGACUUGCAGAUUAACGCAAGAUUUGGUUUCCUCCAAUAUCUCAUGUUCAGUUGUCAGACAGUGAAUAAUGGUGCAAUUAGUGAGCU